UGAGGAACAUGACCUUCGGCGGGGGAUAGCCGGCCCAACGGCCGGGUAAUACCGCGUACGACCACAUGGGGACAUCCCUGAGUGGUGAAAGCAGCAAUGCGCCGAUGGAGUGCCUCGCGGCCUAUCAGCUAGUUGGUGAGGUAACGGCUCACCAAGGCGACGACGGGUAGCCGUCGUGAGGAGGACGACCGCGACCACGUCGGACUGUAGGACUACGGACCGAACGACCCGGUCCCCUAACGGGGAACGUC
RNAcentral lists this ribosomal RNA (251 nucleotides) under uncultured bacterium. RNAcentral's name for it is "partial 16S ribosomal RNA". The stretch from base 1 to 192 matches the Rfam family "Bacterial small subunit ribosomal RNA", at positions 118 to 308 of the family's 1533-position model. The record is from RNAcentral.